This 485-nucleotide ribosomal RNA is filed under the name uncultured bacterium. Its description in RNAcentral is "bacterial SSU rRNA". It matches the Rfam family "Bacterial small subunit ribosomal RNA", at positions 24 to 518 of the family's 1533-position model. The record is from RNAcentral.
UCAGGAUGAACGCUGGCGGCGCGCCUAACACAUGCAAGUCGAACGGUUAAAGCACCUCCGGGUGUGUAUAAAGUGGCGAACGGCUGAGUAACACGUGGGCAACCUGCCCCUCGCACCGGGACAGCCUCGGGAAACCGUGGUUAAUACCGGAUACGCCCCCUCUCCCGCAUGGAAGAGGGGGGAAAGCCCCGACGGCGAGGGAUGGGCCCGCGGCCUGUUAGCUUGUUGGCGGGGUAACGGCCCACCAAGGCGAUUAUGGGUAGCUGGGUUGAGAGACCGACCAGCCAGAUUGGGACUGAGACACGGCCCAGACUCCUACGGGAGGCAGCAGUGGGGAAUCUUGCACAAUGGGCGAAAGCCUGAUGCAAGCGACGCCGCGUGCGGGACGAAGGCCUUCGGGUUGUAAACCGCUUUCAGCAGGGACGAGGCCGCAAGGUGACGGUACCUGCAGAAGAAGCCCCGGCUAACUACGUGCCAGCCGCAGC